GACGAACGCUGGCGGCGUGCUUAACACAUGCAAGUCGAACGGUGAAGCUCCAGCUUGCUGGAGUGGAUCAGUGGCGAACGGGUGAGUAACACGUGAGCAACCUGCCCCUGACUCUGGAAUAAGCGCUGGAAACGGCGUCUAAUACUGGAUACGAGAAGGGUCCGCAUGGGCACUUUCUGGAAAGUUUUUCGGUUGGGGAUGGGCUCGCGGCCUAUCAGCUUGUUGGUGAGGUAAUGGCUCACCAAGGCGACGACGGGUAGCCGGCCUGAGAGGGCGACCGGCCACACUGGGACUGAGACACGGCCCAGACUCCUACGGGAGGCAGCAGUGGGGAAUAUUGCACAAUGGGCGAAAGCCUGAUCCAGCGACGCCGCGUGAGGGAUGACGGCCUUCGGGUUGUAAACCUCUUUCAGCAGGGAAGAAGCGAAAGUGACGGUACCUGCAGAAGAAGCACCGGCUAACUACGUG
RNAcentral lists this ribosomal RNA (468 nucleotides) under uncultured bacterium. RNAcentral's name for it is "partial 16S ribosomal RNA". It matches the Rfam family "Bacterial small subunit ribosomal RNA", at positions 28 to 507 of the family's 1533-position model. The record is from RNAcentral.